Molecule: ribosomal RNA, 506 nt
Filed under: uncultured bacterium
Lineage: Bacteria
Description: partial 16S ribosomal RNA
Rfam family: Bacterial small subunit ribosomal RNA
Source: RNAcentral
AGUGAACGCUGGCGGUAGGCCUAACACAUGCAAGUCGAACGGCAGCACAGGAGAGCUUGCUCUCUGGGUGGCGAGUGGCGGACGGGUGAGGAAUACAUCGGAAUCUACUCUGUCGUGGGGGAUAACGUAGGGAAACUUACGCUAAUACCGCAUACGACCUACGGGUGAAAGCAGGGGAUCUUCGGACCUUGCGCGAUUGAAUGAGCCGAUGUCGGAUUAGCUAGUUGGCGGGGUAAAGGCCCACCAAGGCGACGAUCCGUAGCUGGUCUGAGAGAAUGAUCAGCCACAAUGGAACGGAGACACGGUCCAGACUCCUACGGGAGGCAGCAGUGGGGAAUAUUGGACAAUGGGCGCAAGCCUGAUCCAGCCAUACCGCGUGGGUGAAGAAGGCCUUCGGGUUGUAAAGCCCUUUUGUUGGGAAAGAAAUCCAGCUGGCUAAUACCCGGUUGGGAUGACGGUACCCAAAGAAUAAGCACCGGCUAACUUCGUGCCAGCCGCCGCCGUAA